RNAcentral lists this small RNA (624 nucleotides) under Oryza sativa Japonica Group (Japanese rice). RNAcentral's name for it is "sRNA Os09g0115166". The record is from RNAcentral. Lineage: Eukaryota; Viridiplantae; Streptophyta; Magnoliopsida; Poales; Poaceae.
UGUUAUUUUACUCAGAUUUUACACCACAUAUGCAAUAUAUUUUCAAGUGUGGUGGUGUUGUGUGUCUUAUAGGAACUUAGCAUAUUUGUCUUGGCGAUAUACGCACUGUGUGAACCCAAUACCUUACAAAAUUCCUUUAUUCGUUGCAUAAAGGCUUUUUAUUAAAGUCAUUUACUAUGCAAUUUUUAAAGAUGUAGUUAGCUUAUAGCUAUGCGCAUUAUACUUUUUAGUAAGCAGUCUGUAUAUUGCUCGGAUUAUCAUAGCCUCCUAGACAUUUCCCAUCUCUCUUAUUCUUGGAUCUAAAGCUUCUAGUGUAUCAAGUGGGCAGGGAUUAGACAGAUUUUUGGGAUUGAGUGCAAGUUAAAAGUAGGGAUUUAUCAUGGGGGCAUGAUCAGCACCGAGCUUGUUCCUUAGCGCAUUUCUUACUCUUCGAGGUUAUCCUCCUAGUCAACUAGAUGUCACUCGCAAGCAUCUGGUGAUUGUGGACAGCCUGGGAAGUUUUUGGAGGUUCUACUCCACCUCCAUAAGUAAAAGGGGUAAACUGAGUAAGAACCAAUUUAAUUGGUGGGUUUUAGGGUUGAAUGCAACUCAGCUUGUAGGAGCCUCUCGAUGGAGACAGGAUCG